AAAAAAUUGGCCUUCAAAAGUAUAACAAUGUAUCACAGGACUUCUACUGCAUCACAAAUUCAUACAGCUCAUUGACAAAUGGUCCCCUAUGAGAAGGCCUUCACUACAUUGUAAAAAAAUUCCAGGUUAAUCCCUUGAUUUCCACAUGCUCACGAUAGCUAAGCAAGAUAGAAUUUAUGAAUUUAAAGAUCAUCUUCUCGCAUAUCCGUCCUCCUCCUGGCCUGUAGAGCUAGCCGUGCAUCUCUCUCCCUCUCAAAUUCUCUGUAAUCAGCUCGUUGCAAGAAUGAUACCUUGUCCAGAUACUGGUUUGAGCUUUUCUUAUAAGCAUCUAACUCCUCUUCUAGCCCCUUAUUCUCUUCCUUAAAUUCUCCCCAAUCCUUUUUCGUCUUGUCAAGCACACUGAGCUUAGGUUUCUUCUUAAUUUGUUCUAGAACAGCAUCCACUGCAGAAGGUGGAAGACUUCUGGCCUUUUCAGCAGCCUCUUUUGACUCUGCAUCAACAAGCUUCUUAACUUCUAUUUCCUGACCUGCAAAAUCCCGUACCUCUGAGAUCUCAACUUUACCCCUGCCUGAAGCAGCGGCUGCAGCAUCCUUAAACUGCUGAGAGAGCAGCAGCAGCAAGUUUUUUGGCCUCAUCACUAGUGGCAUUUUGCAAAACACUAGAUCCCUUUUGUGAUGCAUCUGGUAUAGAGCUUUCUGAUUUCUUUGUUGCCAGACCCAGAUAAGCCAUCCAAUUAUCAGACUUAUUUUGUGAAGUUCUAUCUGAAGACUUGCUUGAAAGUGUCUUAUUAGAUACUUCCUUAUUCAUUUGGUCCCACCUGACAGCAACCUUGUCGUCUUUGCUGGUACCAUCCUGCAAACCACUUCCUCCAUUCUGCUGGUCACCUUGUCCAGGGUAUGCUGCCUUCUUUGGUGCGAGACCCAGAUAUGUCAUCCAAUUAUCGUUGAAUUUCUGUGAAUUAGUAUUCAUGGUUGAACUAAUACGUUUAUUUGAAAUGGGUUUGACAGGCUUAUUACCCAACCCUUUAUUCAUUUGCUCCCACAUUGCUUGCACCCGAGCUUCCAUAUCACUUUCUGCAGGUUUUGGCUCUGAACUCAAAACUGAAUCAACUUUCUGUGAAGACUCAAUUUGAGAAUCCAUCCUUUACAUUAAUCUUCCCAACGGACUAUGAAUUGAUGAUGAUGAUGAUCUAUUUCAGCUAACGCAGAAUUCCUCUUUCUUUUUCUUCUUCUUCUUCUUCGUCCUGGGCAAUCUAUGAAGGUUUCUCUACUUAAAGCUC
This 1279-nucleotide unclassified non-coding RNA is filed under the name Hevea brasiliensis (rubber tree). Lineage: Eukaryota; Viridiplantae; Streptophyta; Magnoliopsida; Malpighiales; Euphorbiaceae. The record is from RNAcentral.